Molecule: ribosomal RNA, 260 nt
Filed under: Bordetella pseudohinzii
Lineage: Bacteria; Pseudomonadati; Pseudomonadota; Betaproteobacteria; Burkholderiales; Alcaligenaceae
Description: partial 16S ribosomal RNA
Rfam family: Bacterial small subunit ribosomal RNA
Source: RNAcentral
UAAUACGUAGGGUGCAAGCGUUAAUCGGAAUUACUGGGCGUAAAGCGUGCGCAGGCGGUUCGGAAAGAAAGAUGUGAAAUCCCAGAGCUUAACUUUGGAACUGCAUUUUUAACUACCGAGCUAGAGUGUGUCAGAGGGAGGUGGAAUUCCGCGUGUAGCAGUGAAAUGCGUAGAUAUGCGGAGGAACACCGAUGGCGAAGGCAGCCUCCUGGGAUAACACUGACGCUCAUGCACGAAAGCGUGGGGAGCAAACAGGAUUA